RNAcentral lists this ribosomal RNA (787 nucleotides) under Staphylococcus capitis. RNAcentral's name for it is "bacterial SSU rRNA". It matches the Rfam family "Bacterial small subunit ribosomal RNA", at positions 52 to 821 of the family's 1533-position model. Lineage: Bacteria; Bacillati; Bacillota; Bacilli; Caryophanales; Staphylococcaceae. The record is from RNAcentral.
UAUAAUGCAGUCGAGCGAACAGACGAGGAGCUUGCUCCUCUGACGUUAGCGGCGGACGGGUGAGUAACACGUGGAUAACCUACCUAUAAGACUGGGAUAACUUCGGGAAACCGGAGCUAAUACCGGAUAACAUGUUGAACCGCAUGGUUCAACAGUGAAAGACGGUCUUGCUGUCACUUAUAGAUGGAUCCGCGCCGCAUUAGCUAGUUGGUAAGGUAACGGCUUACCAAGGCAACGAUGCGUAGCCGACCUGAGAGGGUGAUCGGCCACACUGGAACUGAGACACGGUCCAGACUCCUACGGGAGGCAGCAGUAGGGAAUCUUCCGCAAUGGGCGAAAGCCUGACGGAGCAACGCCGCGUGAGUGAAGAAGGUCUUCGGAUCGUAAAACUCUGUUAUUAGGGAAGAACAAAUGUGUAAGUAACUAUGCACGUCUUGACGGUACCUAAUCAGAAAGCCACGGCUAACUACGUGCCAGCAGCCGCGGUAAUACGUAGGUGGCAAGCGUUAUCCGGAAUUAUUGGGCGUAAAGCGCGCGUAGGCGGUUUUUUAAGUCUGAUGUGAAAGCCCACGGCUCAACCGUGGAGGGUCAUUGGAAACUGGAAAACUUGAGUGCAGAAGAGGAAAGUGGAAUUCCAUGUGUAGCGGUGAAAUGCGCAGAGAUAUGGAGGAACACCAGUGGCGAAGGCGACUUUCUGGUCUGUAACUGACGCUGAUGUGCGAAAGCGUGGGGAUCAAACAGGAUUAGAUACCCUGGUAGUCCACGCCGUAAACGAUGAGUGCUAAGU